RNAcentral lists this ribosomal RNA (1677 nucleotides) under Galaxias olidus. Its description in RNAcentral is "16S ribosomal RNA". It matches the Rfam family "Bacterial large subunit ribosomal RNA". The record is from RNAcentral. Lineage: Eukaryota; Metazoa; Chordata; Actinopteri; Galaxiiformes; Galaxiidae.
GCCGAUUAACUAGCUCAUACACUUGGUUUAAAACCACAAUAUACAUAGACCCCCAUGAAUUAAUACCCCAACAUCAAACCAUUUUUCCACCUUAGUAGGGGAGACAGAAAAGGACCUAGAAGCAACAGAAAAAGUACCGCAAGGGAAAGUUGAAAGAGAAAUGAAACAACCCAUAAAAGCACAACGCAGCAGAGACUAGUUCUCGUACCUUUUGCAUCAUGAUUUGGCCAGCAUUACUUAAGCGAAGAGAACUUUAGUUUAAGCCCCCGAAACUAGACGAGCUACUCCGAGACAGCCUAUUAUAGGGCCAACCCGUCUCUGUGGCAAAAGAGUGGGAAGAGCUCUGAGUAGAGGUGAUAAACCUACCGAGCCUAGUUAUAGCUGGUUGUCUAAGAAAUGAAUAGAAGUUCAGCCCCCCAAAUUACCCACCCUCCUUAGUGUAACCCACCUUGGCACCGGAAAGUUGGGGGAGUUAGUCAAAGGAGGUACAGCUCCUUUGAACAAGGACACAACCUUAACAGGAGGUUAAAGAUCAUAUUAAGUAAGGAAUUAUGUUUUAGUGGGCCUAAAAGCAGCCACCUUCCUAGAAAGCGUUAAAGCUCAGACACCUCAAUACCCUUUUAUUCUGAUAAAAAAUCUUACCCCCUAAAUCUAAUAGACCGUUCCACGCCCUCACGUGGAAGCGACCAUGCUAAAAUGAGUAACAAGAGGGCACUUCCACCCUCUCCCCGCACCUGUGUAACUCGGACCGGACCCCCCGCCGACUAUUAACGAACCCAAAGCCAGAGGGAACUAUGGACUAGACAAACUACUAGCAAACCCCAUCCCACCAAUCGUUAACCCCACACUGGAGUGCAACAGGGAAAGACCUAAAGGAUAAGAAGGAACUCGGCAAACACAAGCCUCGCCUGUUUACCAAAAACAUCGCCUCUUGAAAGCUAGAAAUAAGAGGUCCCGCCUGCCCUGUGACUAUAUGUUUAACGGCCGCGGUAUUUUGACCGUGCAAAGGUAGCGCAAUCACUUGUCUUUUAAAUGGAGACCUGUAUGAAUGGCAAGACGAGGGCUAAGCUGUCUCCUUUUCCAAGUCAGUGAAAUUGAUCUCCCCGUGCAGAAGCGGGGAUAUUCUCAUAAGACGAGAAGACCCUAUGGAGCUUUAGACACUAGACAGCCCAUGUUAAACAACCUAUCUUAAAGGUAAGAACUUAGUGGCACCUCGUUUAAUUGUCUUCGGUUGGGGCGACCGCGGGGGAAAAAACAGCCCCCAUGUGGAAUGGGAGCAUAAUCUCCUAAAGCCGAGAAUAACUUUUCGAAGCAACAGAAAUUCUGACCAAAUAUGAUCCGGCAAUGCCGAUCAACGGACCCAGUUACCCUAGGGAUAACAGCGCAAUCCUCUCCCAGAGUCCCUAUCGACGAGGGGGUUUACGACCUCGAUGUUGGAUCAGGACAUCCUAAUGGUGCAGCCGCUAUUAAGGGUUCGUUUGUUCAACGAUUAAAGUCCUACGUGAUCUGAGUUCAGACCGGAGUAAUCCAGGUCAGUUUCUAUCUAUGAUGUGACCUUUUCUAGUACGAAAGGACCGAAAAGACGGGGCCCAUGCUAGAGGUAUGCCCCACCCCUACCUGAUGAAGACAACUAAAUUAGACAAAGGGGCACACCUUUACAGUCCAAGAUAACGACGC